RNAcentral lists this ribosomal RNA (465 nucleotides) under uncultured bacterium. Its description in RNAcentral is "partial 16S ribosomal RNA". It matches the Rfam family "Bacterial small subunit ribosomal RNA", at positions 338 to 795 of the family's 1533-position model. The record is from RNAcentral.
CCUACGGGAGGCAGCAGUAGGGAAUCUUCCACAAUGGGCGAAAGCCUGAUGGAGCAACGCCGCGUGGGUGAAGAAGGUCUUCGGAUCGUAAAACCCUGUUGUUAGAGAAGAAAGUGCGUGAGAGUAACUGUUCACGUUUCGACGGUAUCUAACCAGAAAGCCACGGCUAACUACGUGCCAGCAGCCGCGGUAAUACGUAGGUGGCAAGCGUUAUCCGGAUUUAUUGGGCGUAAAGGGAACGCAGGCGGUCUUUUACGUCUGAUGUGAAAGCCUUCGGCUUAACCGGAGUAGUGCAUUGGAAACCGGGAGACUGGAGGGCAGAAGAGGAGAGUGGAACUCCAGGUGUAGCGGUGAAAUGCGUAGAUAUAUGGAAGAACACCAGUGGCGAAAGCGGCUCUCUGGUCUGUAACUGACGCUGAGGUUCGAAAGCGUGGGUAGCAAACAGGAUUAGAUACCCGAGUAGUC